Lolium rigidum is the source of this 106-nucleotide small nucleolar RNA. RefSeq annotates it as small nucleolar RNA Z118/Z121/Z120. Lineage: Eukaryota; Viridiplantae; Streptophyta; Magnoliopsida; Poales; Poaceae. The transcript has a single exon. The record is from RefSeq and is a predicted model, not a curated record.
UGUUUGUUGUGAUGAAAUCAUACGGACGGUAUCCGAGGGAGUUGGCUUUUGAAAGCCCUUUCGUUGAUUAUAUAUCCAAAACUGAUCAAAUAUUCUUGAGCUAUAA